GAUGAAAGAACGUAGUGAAAUGCGAUAAGUAAUGUGAAUUGCAGAAUUCAGUGAAUCAUCGAAUCUUUGAACGCAUCUUGCGCUCCUUGGUAUUCUGAGGAGCAUGCCUGUUUGAGUGUCAUUAAAUUCUCAACUACACUGACUUUGAAUUGGUGUGGCUUGGAUUUGGGGGGAAAAUUGUUGUGGGCUUUUUGUAUAGUCUGCUCCCCUGAAAUUGAUUAGCGGUACCUUUGUGGAACUGUCUACAGGUGUGAUAAUUAUCUACAUCUUAGACAUCUGCUGGAAUGCUGCUUUCUAAACCUUACUUGUAUUGACAAUCUUGACCUCAAAUCAGGUAGGACUACCCGCUGAACUUAAGCAUAUCAAUAAGCGGAGGA
RNAcentral lists this unclassified non-coding RNA (377 nucleotides) under soil metagenome. Its description in RNAcentral is "partial contains 5.8S ribosomal RNA, internal transcribed spacer 2, and large subunit ribosomal RNA". The stretch from base 6 to 121 matches the Rfam family "5.8S ribosomal RNA", at positions 39 to 154 of the family's 154-position model. The record is from RNAcentral.